RNAcentral lists this ribosomal RNA (752 nucleotides) under Hormodochis aggregata. Its description in RNAcentral is "partial large subunit ribosomal RNA". It matches the Rfam family "Eukaryotic large subunit ribosomal RNA", at positions 99 to 867 of the family's 3401-position model. The record is from RNAcentral. Lineage: Eukaryota; Fungi; Ascomycota.
CGGCAACAGCUCAAAUUUGAAAUCUGGCGCCUUGUGCGCCCGAGUUGUAAUUUGUAGAGGAUGUUUCGGGUGCGGCACCGAUCUAAGUUCCUUGGAACAGGGCGUCAUAGAGGGUGAGAAUCCCGUAUGUGACCGGUCGCCUAUCCCAUGUGAAACUCCUUCGACGAGUCGAGUUGUUUGGGAAUGCAGCUCAAAAUGGGUGGUAUAUUUCAUCUAAAGCUAAAUAUUGGCCAGAGACCGAUAGCGCACAAGUAGAGUGAUCGAAAGAUGAAAAGCACUUUGGAAAGAGAGUUAAAAAGUACGUGAAAUUGUUGAAAGGGAAGCGCUUGCGACCAGACUCGCCCGGGGGUGAUCAACCGUCCUUUUGGGCGGUGCACUUUCCCUCGGGCGGGCCAGCAUCGGUUCGGGCGGCUGGAUAAAGGCUUCGGGAAUGUAGCUCCUCUCGGGGAGUGUUAUAGCCCGGGGUGCAAUGCAGCCAGUCUGGACCGAGGACCGCGCUUUUGCUAGGAUGCUGGCGUAAUGGUCGUCAGCGACCCGUCUUGAAACACGGACCAAGGAGUUAACCACCGGUGCGAGUGUUUGGGUGUCAAACCCGUACGCGUAAUGAAAGUGAACGGAGGUGAGAACCCCUUUCGGGGCGCAUCAUCGACCGAUCCUGAUGUCUUCGGAUGGAUUUGAGUAAGAGCACCGUUGGUUUGACCCGAAAGAUGGUGAUCUUUACGCGGAUAGGGUGAAGCCAGAGGAAACUCUGG